This 48-nucleotide transfer RNA is filed under the name Toxocara canis (dog roundworm). It matches the Rfam family "tRNA", at positions 1 to 46 of the family's 71-position model. From Rfam's summary of the family: Transfer RNA (tRNA) molecules are approximately 80 nucleotides in length. The record is from Rfam by way of RNAcentral. Lineage: Eukaryota; Metazoa; Nematoda; Chromadorea; Rhabditida; Toxocaridae.
GCCAAGAUAGCUCAGUAGGGAGAGCGUUAGACUGAAGAUCUAAAGCUC